GUACCCUGAUCCAACAUCGAGGUCGUAAACCCGCCUGUCGAUAGGGGCUCUUGAGGCGGAUUGCGCUGUUAUCCCUAGGGUAACUUGGUUCAUUGAUCAAAAUAUUGGGUCAAUUAAUGUCAAUUUAUUGGUGCAUAGAGUUGUGGUUCUUUGCUCAGGAAAUGGAAUUCCGUUCAAUGUGGAGGUUUUGUUUUGCUCCGCGGUCACCCCAACCUAAAACUAAAAAUCAUAAGGCUAUACUGUGUAUUAAUUAUCUGAAAUGUAAGAAAUUUAAGCAAUUGUUAUUUAGUUUAAAG
RNAcentral lists this ribosomal RNA (296 nucleotides) under Pseudacris ocularis (little grass frog). RNAcentral's name for it is "partial 16S ribosomal RNA". The record is from RNAcentral. Lineage: Eukaryota; Metazoa; Chordata; Amphibia; Anura; Hylidae.